UACGGAGGAUGCGAGCGUUAUCCGGAUUUAUUGGGUUUAAAGGGUGCGCAGGCGGCACGGCAAGCCGGCGGUCAAAUCGCGGGGCUCAACCCCGCCCAGCCGUCGGAACUGCCGGGCUAGAGUGGGCGAGAAGUGCGCGGAAUGCGUGGUGUAGCGGUGAAAUGCAUAGAUAUCACGCAGAACUCCGAUUGCGAAGGCAGCGCACCGGCGCCCUACUGACGCUUAGGCACGAAAGCGUGGGUAUCGAACAGG
RNAcentral lists this ribosomal RNA (252 nucleotides) under uncultured bacterium. RNAcentral describes it as "partial 16S ribosomal RNA". It matches the Rfam family "Bacterial small subunit ribosomal RNA", at positions 524 to 776 of the family's 1533-position model. The record is from RNAcentral.